Molecule: ribosomal RNA, 1434 nt
Filed under: Ololygon sp. KAV1
Lineage: Eukaryota; Metazoa; Chordata; Amphibia; Anura; Hylidae
Description: partial 16S large subunit ribosomal RNA
Rfam family: Bacterial large subunit ribosomal RNA
Source: RNAcentral
GCCAAAAUUUUAGCCCACCCUAACCCUAUGAACCCUAUAUACCUACCCCUCCCCCAAACAAAACAUUCUUACACUUUAGUAAAGGAGAUUGAAAAAUUAAUUGAAGCAAUAAAAAAAGUACCGCAAGGGAAAAAUGAAAUAACAAUGAAAUAACCUUCAAGCACAAAAAAGUAGAGUUAUUCCCUCGUACCUUUUGCAUCAUGGUUUAACUAGUCUAAUCAAGCAAAAAGAAUUACAGUUUGACCCCCCGAAACUAGACGAGCUACUUCAAGGCAGCUUUAUGAGCAAACCCGUCUCUGUAGCAAAAGAGUGGGAUGACCUUCAAAUAGUGGUGACAUACCUAACGAGUCUAGUGAUAGCUGGUUACUCAAGAAAAGGAUCUAAGUCCAACCUAAAACUUAUUCAAUCAAUGAAAAUACCCAUUAAGUUCUAGAGCAAUUCAAAUAAGGUACAGCCUAUUUGAUACAGGAUACAACCUCCACUGAUGGGUAAAAAUAUUAAUAAUUCAACCAAGUAGGCCUAAAAGCAGCCACCUUUUAAAAAGCGUCAAAGCUCAAUUGUCUCAACUAUUCAAUUCCUCCAACUCCAUUAAACCCUCUACUACUAUUGAGUAAUUCUAUACACCUAUAGAACCUAUUAUGUUAAAACUAGUAACAAGAAGGACACCCUUCUCUUAAAUGUAAGUGUAAAUCAGAAAGGAACACCCACUGAUAUUUAACGCCUAUGAAAAUCUAUUAGCAACUCCAACAAGAAAACCCUAAUAACACCUACGUUAACCUAACACAAGAACAUCUCAAGAAAGAUUAAAAGAAAAAGAAGGAACUCGGCAAAUAACUACCCCGACUGUUUACCAAAAACAUCGCCUCUUGUGAAACUAUAAGAGGUCAAGCCUGCCCAGUGACACACAGUUCAACGGCCGCGGUAUCCUAACCGUGCUAAGGUAGCGUAAUCACUUGUUCUUUAAAUGAGGACUAGAAUGAACGGCACUACGAGGGUUAUACUGUCUCCUUUUUCUAAUCAGUCAAACUAAUCUCCCCGUGAAGAAGCGGGGAUACACCUAUAAGACGAGAAGACCCUAUGGAGCUUUAAAUUUUAUUACACUGCUUUAUUACAUCUUUCAAGUCUAAGACUCUCUACAAUUUCUGCAUUUUGAUAAUAAAUUUUAGGUUGGGGUGACCACGGAGAAAAACAUAACCUCCACAUUGACAAAGGCCUCUACGCCUUGAACUAAGAGCCACAGCUCCAAGAAAUAAUAUAUUAACAUUCAUUGACCCAAUACCUCUUGAUCAACGAACCAAGUUACCCUAGGGAUAACAGCGCAAUCCACUUUAAGAGCCCCUAUCGACAAGUGGGUUUACGACCUCGAUGUUGGAUCAGGGUAUCCCAGUGGUGCAACCGCUACUAAAGGUUCGUUUGUUCAACGAUUGAAACCCU